UAUACGAAGGGAAGAUGGAUUUUAUAUCCCAAAAGUUUCUCCUAUAAGGUAUGUUUUACUUUCCAAGUUUUGGCGUGCACACAGUCCAUUCAGGCAGACCAGAUAUCAUGAUAUAGCUGAUUGUACUGUCUGUAGGUAAAUUUACUGAAAUUGAUGGCAGUGUUCAAGGUGGUGGAUCACAUAAUUGCCUUAAAGUCGGGUGAAGUCAGGAUUUCAAAUUUAAGGGUUUUAGAUUUUAGAACGAUGACUUCAAGUGCUAAUACCUGUGUCUUAAAUUUAAUGUAUGUACAGAUUUAAUGAAUUCCUCAGCACGAAUAUAUUGUUUGACCAAAGCUACUAGGUUCUGCUCAAUUUGUAUAUGGCAUCUAGCUCCACCCCUGCUAAAAGUAGUAGUAGUAGCUACAUCAAUAAAUGAAGUCAAAAAAGUGAGGAAAAAAGGAAAGCAAUAUCAUUGCUCUAGGCAUGAUGUACUGAGGUUGACGAUACAGCGUAAUCAACUGCUCCAUGGUGUUCUAGAUUAAAGAAGAUUGUUUUGCUUCUGAAUUCUACACUGAUCCUCGAAGAGGAUACUAACAGAGAGUGUAUAGGAAUGUUAAAGGAAAAGGAGGAGAAGAGUAUUUACCGGAAGCAGCAGCAUCAAUUGCAUUUCCUUUGGAGUCCCUGGCAUGAAGAACUAAUCUUGUUGUGUAGUUGGGAUGGUGUGAGUAGAAGUCAGAACGAGCAAUCAUCAAACAAUCGAGAGCCCUGUGCCCGAGCUGUGUGUCCAAAUCAAGAAUCACACCCACUUGAAAGUUAAUAACUGAGCUGUUGCCACCCAAGGCGCUAGAGCAACAUAAGGAGGAACUCAUUGUAAUAAGGAAACUAACAAGAAUGGAAUGGAAAGAGAUGAUCAUUGUUUCUUCAAGGAUGUAUUAAUUGAUUUUAAUUCACUAUGUAGUACUCUUAUUUCCGAGAUGCUUAUAUAGGCAUCAGUUGACCAAGACUUGCAUGCUAAGAUGCAUGUGCCAAGAUUUGGUUUUGUUGUGUAUCUUUUUUAAUCCUUUUUCUAGUUUUGUUGGAUUAUAUGCAUAAGGGUCAACAAUAAAAUAUGCUAUAUGAAACUUCCUGGA
Long non-coding RNA from Capsicum annuum, 1109 nucleotides. RefSeq lists it as uncharacterized. The record is from RefSeq and is a predicted model, not a curated record. Lineage: Eukaryota; Viridiplantae; Streptophyta; Magnoliopsida; Solanales; Solanaceae. The transcript has 2 exons.